UGUCACCUGUUUAUCAAAAACAUAUUUUAAAGAAUAUUAAUUUUAAAUCAAAUCUGCCCAAUGAUUAUUAUUAAAUGGCUGCAGAAUCACUAACUGUACAAAGGUAGCAUAAUAAUUUGGUUUUUAAUUAAAACCUUGAAUGAACGAUUUAAUGAGGUAUAAACUUUAUAAAUAAAAUAAAUUUAAAUUUUUAUUUAAGUAAAAAAACUUAAAUUUAUAAAAAAGACGACAAGACCCUAUAGAAUUUUAUUUAUUUAAAAAUUAAAUUUAAUUCAUAAUAAUUUUUAAAUAAAUUUUAUUGGGGUAAUAAAAAAAUUUAACAAAUUUUUUUAAAAAUAAACAAUAAUUAUUGAAAAAAAAUCUUAAAAUUUAAAUUAAUAAAAUUAAUUACCUUAGGGAUAACAGCAUAAUUUUUUUUAAAAGAUCUUAUUAAUAAAAAAGAUUAUGACCUCGAUGUUGAAUAAGAAA
This 468-nucleotide ribosomal RNA is filed under the name Diachasmimorpha longicaudata. RNAcentral's name for it is "partial 16S ribosomal RNA". The stretch from base 3 to 156 matches the Rfam family "Archaeal large subunit ribosomal RNA", at positions 1888 to 2085 of the family's 2987-position model. The record is from RNAcentral. Lineage: Eukaryota; Metazoa; Arthropoda; Insecta; Hymenoptera; Braconidae.